RNAcentral lists this ribosomal RNA (201 nucleotides) under uncultured bacterium. Its description in RNAcentral is "partial 16S ribosomal RNA". It matches the Rfam family "Bacterial small subunit ribosomal RNA", at positions 1292 to 1500 of the family's 1533-position model. The record is from RNAcentral.
UUCGGAUUGGAGUCUGNAACCCGACUCCAUGAAGCUGGAUUCGCUAGUAAUCGCGCAUCAGCCACGGCGCGGUGAAUACGUUCCCGGGCCUUGUACACACCGCCCGUCAAGCCAUGGAAGCCGGGAGUGCCUGAAGUGCGUGAGCGCAAGCAGCGCCCUAAGGUAAAACCGGUGACUGGGGCUAAGUCGUAACAAGGUACC